CCUACGGGGUGCAGCAGUGAGGAGUAUUGGUCAAUGGGCGCUAGCCUGAACCAGCCAAGUAGCGUGAAGGAUGACUGCCCUAUGGGUUGUAAACUUCUUUUAUAUGGGAAUAAAGUGCAGUAUGUAUACUGCUUUGCAUGUACCUUAUGAAUAAGGAUCGGCUAACUCCGUGCCAGCAGCCGCGGUAAUACGGAGGAUCCGAGCGUUAUCCGGAUUUAUUGGGUUUAAAGGGAGCGUAGGCGGGUUGUUAAGUCAGUUGUGAAAGUUUGCGGCUCAACCGUAAAAUUGCAGUUGAUACUGGCAGCCUUGAGUACAGUAGAGGUAGGCGGAAUUCGUGGUGUAGCGGUGAAAUGCUUAGAUAUCACGAAGAACUCCGAUUGCGAAGGCAGCCUGCUGGACUGUAACUGACGCUGAUGCUCGAAAGUGUGGGUAUCAAACAGGAUUAGAUACCCUUGUAGUC
This 460-nucleotide ribosomal RNA is filed under the name uncultured bacterium. RNAcentral describes it as "partial 16S ribosomal RNA". It matches the Rfam family "Bacterial small subunit ribosomal RNA", at positions 338 to 795 of the family's 1533-position model. The record is from RNAcentral.